GCGCUGGUAGCUCAGUUGGUUAGAGCGGGCCGCUCAUAACGGUCUGGUCGCGGGUUCAAGUCCUGCCCGGCGCA
RNAcentral lists this transfer RNA (74 nucleotides) under Acetobacter sp. RNAcentral describes it as "tRNA-Ile". It matches the Rfam family "tRNA". Rfam says of the family: Transfer RNA (tRNA) molecules are approximately 80 nucleotides in length. Their secondary structure includes four short double-helical elements and three loops (D, anti-codon, and T loops). Lineage: Bacteria; Pseudomonadati; Pseudomonadota; Alphaproteobacteria; Acetobacterales; Acetobacteraceae. The record is from RNAcentral.